This is a long non-coding RNA of Athalia rosae (coleseed sawfly), 2209 nucleotides long. RefSeq lists it as uncharacterized. The record is from RefSeq and is a predicted model, not a curated record. Lineage: Eukaryota; Metazoa; Arthropoda; Insecta; Hymenoptera; Athaliidae. The transcript is spliced from 2 exons.
GUAACCCUGAGGAAAAAAAUACGAGAUCGACCAGCCCGUGGUCGGAAAUCCUUCGACGUCGACACUAAUUGCACAUUUUAUUAUGACGCGUCUACGGGCAUUCUGUACUAAUUUUUAUUUUUUUACAAUUAUCGAUUACUCUGCCAUUCGCGAUUCGCGGAAUCGGACCCACAUCACGGUGCGGAGGUGCGGAGUACUUUUCGUUCGAGUUUUUCGUUCGUUAAAAAGAGAGAAUCCUUUCCGCGAUUUAUCCAUUAUUUUUCAACCAAACUAGGUACGGUAACCAAUAAACGAAUAAUUUCCGGAUUUUAGUGUUUGGCAAAUUUAACGAAGACUGUAAACAAUUCGUGCCGAAACAUAAUUCGAAAAUUAAUAUCACGAAAUCAAGUUCAAGAGAUUUUACAAAAAAUAAUUAACGAACUUGUUCGUCUGGAAGGAUUUGGAUAUUGUCAAGUUCAAGGACAAUUUAGGACGACGGCGACGAGUAAUAUUCCGCAAUACCGGAAUAAGGAGUUCGUAAUCAGGCAUUUUUUUCCAUUAUGCACCCAAUUAUCAAUCGGCAUAAAUCGGAGGAUUCAUUUAUACGGCACAUACGUACCGAUCGGGAAUACGAGGGGAUUAUCGGUGACGAAACAAACGGGAAAAAUAAUGGUCCCAACGAUUAAAUAAUUAAUUGUCGUUAUCGCUACGGUAAACGGACAGGAGUCACGUAGGAUUAAGGAUCAAUCGAUUGGUUUAUCGCUUUGCGAACAAAUAAAUUUUUAUCCCCGCUCAAACGUGAGAAGAAGGGGGUCAGACAGGGGGAUCGCGGAGAAAAGAAGGAGAAGGAACUACGCAGGAAUCUUCGUUAAGAAUGAUUAUGCUCGAUCGAGUGGCAUUACCACGGCAAUUCAAAUUUUAGUAUCUAUUGAUUCGAAUAAUUUUCAAUAUCUGCGGUUAUUGAGCGAUUAUUUGACAAUGCGAUCACCCCGUGCAACGGGAGUUCUUCGAAAUGCAUUCGCUAUCCAUCGCGGCAUCGUACGAUAUUUAUUUAUAUAUUAAGCACGUGAGUCUGAACAAUGCAUCUAAAUAUACCUGUCGCAUGUCUGCAAAUGUUUGCAUCGCGACCUUGGUAUUCUACGUAAGUAAUUGAGGAUAUGAAAAUGAAAAUUUCCCACAGAUUCAGAUUACUUAGGUAUAACGGUUUAGACGAUCGCUUAUUGGCAUACGCGAGCCAAACGAGAGCAGAGUGUGAAAAUAAUGAAAAUAAAUUUUGCUACGGCAAUUACGAGGAGCGAUCGAGUGUAGGGUGCUAUAAGAUUUUAUAUUCUCUACCCGGAUUCGGUUAUGACGUACGCUAAUUCCUAACCGAUCGGUUUAAUCGGUAGAAUGAAAAUGAACUCCACUCGAAAGUGACCGGUUGAAGAGUGAUAUUUUUUACUUAACGGGGUUUCCAAGUGUCUAAACGGGCGAUUUAUACUCGUGAUAAGCAUCGUGAAUAGAAAGAAGAGUAUUAGCCAGUUCAGCGUCGAUUUGAUGGCUGUGACGACAUUGAUAUACGUGGCGGUGUGAUCGGCGGAUUCGUUCCUCUGAUUUACGAUUGAUCGAAGAGCUACGUAGUUUCUGGAAUGUUCGCCGUGAUGUAAAAUCACACGACUCUGUUGAUUGGAAAUCCGGUAAUUAUAAACAGAUCGAUUCGGUGUCGUUUAAUUGUUCAGGUUCGGUCCAGAUUUUAAUGUACUUCCAGGCUGGAGUCGUCGCGUCGGAGUGACGGUUCAACGCAAUUCACUCCGAAGCUCCAAGGAUACGACGCACAGCCGCACCGGACGAGCUUGUUUUUCUAAGCACGUUCGAACCCCUCCGUUUCUAUUAACAUAGCCAUUUGGAAUAUAUUCUUAUACGCUUACGGAAGAUGGAAGAGUGCGGUUUCUUCCGAGCGUAGAAAUUUUGGCUGGAUUGAAAAAAAAAUUGCCUCCGUGGUAAUCCAAGGUACUUCGACGCAAUGGUAUUCAUCUGGAUAGUGAGAUUUUCUACGGGAUCGAGAGGAAGGGGAACUUCAAAUAUUGCUACAUGGGAGUCGGAGAUCGACAAACAGAUCUUCCUUCGACAGAAGGCUAACCAAUGAGAUAUUCCAAAUAGUCUGCAGCCUAUUAAAAAAAUCGAGUAAAGAUCAGGGUACAACUCUUCUGAGCGUUUAUACCAGAUCGUCUAUUUUAGUUGGCAGGGGCUC